This 498-nucleotide ribosomal RNA is filed under the name uncultured bacterium. Its description in RNAcentral is "bacterial SSU rRNA". It matches the Rfam family "Bacterial small subunit ribosomal RNA", at positions 24 to 518 of the family's 1533-position model. The record is from RNAcentral.
UCAGGAUGAACGCUGGCGGCGUGCCUAACACAUUCAAGUCGAACGGUGUACUUAGUAGCAAUACUGAGGUAGCAUAGUGGCGGACGGGUGAGUAACGCGUGAGCAACCCGCCUUUCAGAGGGGGAUAACACAGGGAAACUUGUGCUAAUACCGCAUAACGUAUACUGGGGGCAUCCCCGGGAUACCAAAGGAGCAAUCUGCUGAAAGAAGGGCUCGCGUCCGAUUAGAUAGUUGGCGGUGUAACGGACCACCAAGUCUACGAUCGGUAGCCGGACUGAGAGGUUGAACGGCCACAUUGGAACUGAGAAACGGUCCAGACUCCUACGGGAGGCAGCAGUGGGGAAUAUUGGGCAAUGGGCGAAAGCCUGACCCAGCGACGCCCGCGUGAAGGAAGACGGUCUUCGGAUUGUAAACUUCAGUUAUACGGGACGAAAGCGCAGCAAUGCGCGUGACGGUACCGUAAGAGAAAGCCACGGCUAACUACGUGCCAGCAGCCGC